UGGCGGCUGUAGCGCGGUGGUCCCACCUGACCCCAUGCCGAACUCAGAAGUGAAACGCCGUAGCGCCGAUGAUAGUGUGGGGUCUCCCCAUGCGAGAGUAGGGAACUGCCAGACA
This 115-nucleotide ribosomal RNA is filed under the name Citrobacter freundii UCI 31. Lineage: Bacteria; Pseudomonadati; Pseudomonadota; Gammaproteobacteria; Enterobacterales; Enterobacteriaceae. The record is from RNAcentral.